GCUGGUGUAGCUCAAUUGGCAGAGCAAGUGAUUUGUAAUCACUAGGUUGGGGGUUCGACUCCCUUCACCAGCU
This 73-nucleotide transfer RNA is filed under the name Deltaproteobacteria bacterium. Its description in RNAcentral is "tRNA-Thr". It matches the Rfam family "tRNA". Rfam says of the family: Transfer RNA (tRNA) molecules are approximately 80 nucleotides in length. Their secondary structure includes four short double-helical elements and three loops (D, anti-codon, and T loops). The record is from RNAcentral. Lineage: Bacteria; Pseudomonadati; Myxococcota; Myxococcia. RNAcentral also lists the same sequence under 1 other name.